RNAcentral lists this small nuclear RNA (100 nucleotides) under Dasypus novemcinctus (nine-banded armadillo). The record is from RNAcentral. Lineage: Eukaryota; Metazoa; Chordata; Mammalia; Cingulata; Dasypodidae.
GUGCUCACUUCAGCAGCAUAUAUACUAAAAUUGGAAUGAUACAGAGAAGAUUAGCAUGGUCCCUGUGCAAGGAUGGCACACAAAUUCAUUAUUCUUUCUU